UACGGAGGGGGCUAGCGUUGUUCGGAAUUACUGGGCGUAAAGCGCACGUAGGCGGCUUUGCAAGUUAGAGGUGAAAGCCCGGGGCUCAACUCCGGAAUUGCCUUUAAAACUGCAUCGCUAGAAUUGUGGAGAGGUAAGUGGAAUCCCGAGUGUAGAGGUGAAAUUCGUAGAUAUUCGGAAGAACACCAGUGGCGAAGGCGACUUACUGGACACAUAUUGACGCUGAGGUGCGAAAGCGUGGGGAGCAAACAGG
Molecule: ribosomal RNA, 253 nt
Filed under: uncultured bacterium
Lineage: Bacteria
Description: partial 16S ribosomal RNA
Rfam family: Bacterial small subunit ribosomal RNA
Source: RNAcentral